GAUGAACGCUGGCGGCGUGCCUAAUACAUGCAAGUCGAGCGAACAGACGAGGAGCUUGCUACUCUGACGUUAGCGGCGGACGGGUGAGUAACACGUGGAUAACCUACCUAUAAGACUGGGAUAACUUCGGGAAACCGGAGCUAAUACCGGAUAAUAUUUUGAACCGCAUGGUUCAAUAGUUAAAGACGGUUUUGCUGUCACUUAUAGAUGGAUCCGCGCUGCAUUAGCUAGUUGGUAAGGUAACGGCUUACCAAGGCAACGAUGCAUAGCCGACCUGAGAGGGGGAUCGGCCACACUGGAACUGAGACACGGUCCAGACUCCUACGGGAGGCAGCAGUAGGGAAUCUUCCGCAAUGGGCGAAAGCCUGACGGAGCAACGCCGCGUGAGUGAUGAAGGUCUUCGGAUCGUAAAACUCUGUUAUUAGGGAAGAACAAAUGUGUAAGUAACUAUGCACGUCUUGACGGUACCUAAUCAGAAAGCCACGGCUAACUACGUG
Molecule: ribosomal RNA, 497 nt
Filed under: uncultured bacterium
Lineage: Bacteria
Description: partial 16S ribosomal RNA
Rfam family: Bacterial small subunit ribosomal RNA
Source: RNAcentral